This 1535-nucleotide ribosomal RNA is filed under the name uncultured bacterium. RNAcentral describes it as "partial 16S ribosomal RNA". It matches the Rfam family "Bacterial small subunit ribosomal RNA". The record is from RNAcentral.
AGAGUUUGAUCCUGGCUCAGGAUGAACGCUGGCGGCGUGCCUAACACAUGCAAGUCGAGCGAGGGUUUGCUCAGUAUUGAGUAUUCUAAAACUAGAAUGUUCAAUUCUGAGCAAAACCAAGCGGCGGACGGGUGAGUAACGCGUGGGUAACCUGCCCUAUACACAUGGAUAACAUACUGAAAAGUUUACUAAUACAUGAUAAUAUAUAUUUGCGGCAUCGCAGAUAUAUCAAAGUGUUAGCGGUAUAGGAUGGACCCGCGUCUGAUUAGCUAGUUGGUGAGAUAACUGCCCACCAAGGCGACGAUCAGUAGCCGACCUGAGAGGGUGAUCGGCCACAUUGGAACUGAGACACGGUCCAAACUCCUACGGGAGGCAGCAGCGGGGAAUAUUGCACAAUGGGCGAAAGCCUGAUGCAGCAACGCCGCGUGUCUGAAGAAGGCCUUCGGGUUGUAAAGGACUUUUGUCCGGGAAGAAAAGCGCGAUGUUAAUACCAUUGCGUGCUGACGGUACCGGAAGAAUAAGCACCGGCUAACUACGUGCCAGCAGCCGCGGUAAUACGUAGGGUGCAAGCGUUAAUCGGAAUUACUGGGCGUAAAGAGUGCGCAGGCGGUUUUGCAAGACCGAUGUGAAAUCCCCGGGCUUAACCUGGGAACUGCAUUGGUGACUGCAAGGCUAGAGUGUGUCAGAGGGAGGUGGAAAUUCCGCAUGUAGCAGUGAAAUGCGUAGAUAUGCGGAGGAACACCGAUGGCGAAGGCAGCCUCCUGGGAUAACACUGACGCUCAUGCACGAAAGCGUGGGGAGCAAACAGGAUUAGAUACCCUGGUAGUCCACGCCCUAAACGAUGUCUACUAGUUGUCGGGGAUUAAUUUCCUUGGUAACGCAGCUAACGCGUGAAGUAGACCGCCUGGGGAGUACGGUCGCAAGAUUAAAACUCAAAGGAAUUGACGGGGACCCGCACAAGCGGUGGAUGAUGUGGAUUAAUUCGAUGCAACGCGAAAAACCUUACCUACGCUUGACAUGUCCGGAACCCUGAAGAGAUUUGGGGGUGCUCGAAAGAGAGCCGGAACACAGGUGCUGCAUGGCUGUCGUCAGCUCGUGUCGUGAGAUGUUGGGUUAAGUCCCGCAACGAGCACAACCCCUGUCCUUUGUUGCCAGCGCGUAAUGGCGGGAACUCAAAGGAGACUGCCGCGGAGAACGCGGAGGAAGGCGGGGAUGACGUCAAGUCAUCAUGCCCCUUAUGUCCUGGGCUACACACGUACUACAAUGGGAUGGACAGAGGGAAGCGAAGGCGCGAGCCGGAGCGGACCCCACAAACCAUCCCCCAGUUCGGAUUGCAGGCUGCAACCCGCCUGCAUGAAGUCGGAAUCGCUAGUAAUCGCAGGUCAGCAUACUGCGGUGAAUACGUUCCCGGGCCUUGUACACACCGCCCGUCACACCACGGAAGUCAUUCACGCCCAAAGCCGGUGGGCCAACCGCAAGGAGGCAGCCGUCUAAGGCGGGGGCGAUGACUGGGGUGAAGUCGUAACAAGGUAACC